UACGGGGGGGGCAAGCGUUGUUCGGAAUUACUGGGCGUAAAGGGCUCGUAGGCGGCCAACUAAGUCGGAUGUGAAAUCCCCAGGCUCAACCUGGGAACUGCAUCCGAUACUGGAUGGCUUGAAUUCGGGAGAGGGAUGCAGAAUUCCAGGUGUAGCGGUGAAAUGCGUAGAUAUCUGGAGGAAUACCGGUGGCGAAGGCGGCAUCCUGGGAUAACACUGACGCUCAUGCACGAAAGCGUGGGGAGCAAACAGG
Molecule: ribosomal RNA, 253 nt
Filed under: uncultured bacterium
Lineage: Bacteria
Description: partial 16S ribosomal RNA
Rfam family: Bacterial small subunit ribosomal RNA
Source: RNAcentral